AAAAGACUAGGAUAGCACCAAACCAAGUUUUUAUUCCCAAAGUAGUACUCAAGGCUCAAAGUCACAAAAAUAGGUUUCAUUAAAGAGGUAAAUAUACAUUUAUACCCUUUGGGUUAAUUAAUCCAAAUCUUAGGGUUUAGAGUUAAGGGGUGGGGUUUUGGAAUUAGGAUUUAAAAUUUUAUAAAAAAUAAAUAUUAAAAUAAAAAAUAAAAAUUAAAAAAAAAACAGUUUUAAAAAGUAUUUUUAAAUUAUAAAACGAAAAUUUGGAAAAAAAAAAUUCAAAAAAAAAUUUUCAAAAAAAAAUUAUAAAAAUUUCGAAUCUGAAAACAUAUAAUCUGAAACUAUAAAAAAUUCUUUUUUUCAUUUUUUUAUUUUUUUUAUUUUUAUUUAUUUUUAUUUUUGUUUAUUUAUUUAAUUUUAAACCAAGGGUAUUAAGGAUAUUUUACCCUUUAAUGAAUGUCAUUUUUGUGACUUUCUCCUUCUAAUGUCAUUUUUGUGACAUAAACUUCAAAAGGUGCUAUUAUUGACAAUUGCCCAUAUAUUAAUUUGCUUAAUAACUAAUUGCAAAUACAAGAAGAUAAAUAUUUAAUAAGAAGUGGUAAAUACAUACGGUUUAAAUAAUUAAUUAAUUAUAACAUAUAAAUUAUAAAAAUAUUGUAUUUGAAAUAGUUAUAUAAAUAUUUAAGUAUAUGAUUAACAUUAAAAAUAUAUACCACUUAUGUUCUAAAACAAUAAUUUAUGUAUAGAAAAGUGAAAACAAACACCCGUGCGGUUGCACGGAUCAAAAUCUAGUUUUAGUUUAAAACUCUUCUCGCCUCUGGGCACCGUGGUUUGUUAAAAGGCUUGAGCCCAUCUUUGUUCCCACCGAGCGAUAGCAGUCAGAAUCAAAACCUGAUUAAAUUUUCAUAUUAACAAACUUAUGUCAGCAUUAUGGUAACUAAUCAUUCCUGUUCAACUUCAUUAAUACUAAUCCAAAUGAAAGUGUUGUUACAACUCGUUUACAUAGUUACCCUAUCCUGUAACAGGUUCAAAAGUGAUGCAGAAUCUUCAAUUCAGCAUAUAUUUUUUGAACGGAUAAAACAACUAAGAAUAUUAGCAAAUAGCAUGUGCCACAACUCACUACAACUAACAAGCACGUUUAAGAAAAUAUAAAGUUAUUUCUGAAUUUUGUAACUAAAAUAAAUAGAUAAUAUAUGUGACAAAACAAGGGAUAAAACUCACUCUACUCCCUACCACUCAAACUUUCCGUUAAAUAAAAGUGAUUUUCUGUAAAAUUAAAUUAGAAACGCUUUUAUGUUCAAAAUUCAUUAAACCAUGAUAAUAAACACAGUUAAAAUAUCACUUAAUGUAAACAAAGUAACGAAACUAUUUUUUUUCCGGCAAACAAACAAAUUUCAUUAAUAUCAAAUCGUGAUUACAAAACAUUAACUAGAUAUCUAGAUAACUAAAAAGGUCUUAUUUGUUUAUAUCUUAAUUAAUAUAAAAUUGGUGAAAUUUAAUAAUUAUCAAAUUUAAAUAAGUAAAAUUUAAUUAAUAUUUUAAAUUUGUAAGUUUUUAAUUAGAUUUAUACUUUUGUACUUUAAACAUAUUAUUAUCAAAUAAAUAUAAUUCAAUAAUAUUAAUUUUACAUUUAUAUAUUUAAAAUAUUAAAUAAAUAAAAUUAUAAAUUUAUAUCUAUAUAUAUAUAUUAAAUUUCUAUAUCUAUCGAAAUCAAUCUGCGCACGUUUUAAGCAUAAUUGGUCCAACCGGUUCACCGUGAGUCUGAAUCUUCGUCAACAUUAACCCUAAUUUCAUUGUAGCGACCCCAAAAUCUCCACCAAGAAAAAAUCGGAAUCCUCUCGCGAAGAUCAAAUCCCCCUCGUAAAUCACCGGUGAAUUCAUCUGUUCCCUAUCUCGAUUGUUAUAUUCUUUAUCAGCAUGAGAUUAGGUUUCAAUCUAAAGGAGGAAUCUUUUUUUCUCAAUUUUAGGGGUUUUGCUAUCUUCUUUCCCAAAUCCAAAAUUGAAAUCUUCAAUGGAGAUUUCGACUAGAGGGUUUUGAAAAAAACAGGAAAAUUUUGAAUUUUUGCUUCUAUUGUUUCAUAUCUACGUGUUAGGGUUUCCGCAUGAACAGUGGUUUAGUGUUUUUAUUGCAAUUAGAGAUUUUAUUACAUGUGUUACAAUGAAAGAAACAAUGUUUGUUUUUAUUUUCUAACGAGGAAACAUGUUUUUAUUCUUCUUACCAGAUGCUUGUUUGGUCUCUUGACGUUUGAUUUUUUUUUUCUUGUGUGUUGCAGAACAGAGUUAACAUUGACCGUAGGCUGCGUUUCGAACCCGUGAUGGGUGCUCCUAAGCAGAAAUGGACUCAAGAAGAAGAGUCAGCUCUAAAGUCUGGAGUUGUCAAGCAUGGACCUGGUAAAUGGCGCACCAUUCUCAAAGACCCUGAGUUUAGUGGAGUCUUGUACCUCCGUUCCAAUGUUGAUCUUAAGGUCAUACUCUUCCUUCUUAUCUGUAUUUUCAUUUGUGAUUUUGUUCUUUAUCUGAUUUGGUUUGGUUCUAUUGUGUUGUGACAGGACAAAUGGAGAAAUAUGAGUGUCAUGGCCAAUGGGUGGGGAUCGCGUGAUAAGUCUAGGUUAGCUCUUAAAAGGACGCACUCGCUUCCUAAACAGGAUGAUAGCUCACUUGCUAAUACAAGCUCGUUGCAAAGUGAUGAAGACAUGGCUGAUGCUAAGCAUUUUUCCACCACCGGCACUUCUGCUCUGCAACUUCCUGCUACUCCUACUCCAAGGAGACCUAAUGUAAGGUCAGAUUUACCAUCUAUAUCUCUGUUUCGUUUAUCGAAUAGGAGAUGCUUUGUUGCAUAUCUCCAGAUGUAGGGGUUAUAUGCGUCAAGGUUACAUAUAUGGUUUUGCAUGAUUGUCCAGAUGCUGAUUAUCUUAGCACGUGAACUGUUUUGCUCCAAUUUAUAAUUGUGAAACUAUGAUGAGGGUCUAAGUGUUCAAAGUCAUACUUAUACGAUAGAUGUCUUGUAUCAUUUGAAUCCAUUGUUAUAGCCAGUUUGUAACUUUUUAAAAGUGUUGCAGGCUGGAUAGCCUUAUAAUGGAAGCAAUAUCUACCAUGAAAGAGCUUGGUGGUUCUAACAAAACAACAAUUGGUGCAUACAUUGAGGUAUAUUUUAGUUCUUAGCUCCUCUUUUUUCCAUAGUCAUUGUGUAUUUGGUCCUGACGCUUGCUUUAUUCGGUCGUAUAGGAACAAUAUCACGCUCCGCCAGACUUCAAACGGUUGCUGUCUACCAAGCUAAAGUACUUGACAGCUUGUGGUAAACUCAUCAAGGUAUCAUGUGCAUUAUAGUCUAUGUGCAAUCAAUUUGCUUCAUUAACGGCGACUUGUGAUGUUUUAUUGAUACGAAUUUUCUCAUUUACAGGCUAAACGCAGGUAUAGAAUUCCACACUCCACUCCUCUGUCUUCCCACAGGAGAAGACAUUUGGGAACACCGUCUGGAAAACAGAGUGUUCUUUCUUUGCCAUCACCUAUAACAGACAGAGAUGAAGUGACUGUUCAGACAAAGGCUCAGAUUGAUGCAGAGUUAGCCAGGAUGAAGACUAUGAACGCACAUGAGGCGCAAGCGGCUGCAGAACAGGCAGUUGAAGAGGCGGAAGCUGCCAUGGCGGCGGCUGAAGAAGCUGCAAAGGAAGCUGAGGCAGCAGAAGCCGAAGCAGAAGAAGCUCAAGCUUACGUUGAAGAAGCUUUAAAGACAGUGAAAGGAAGAAACAACUGCAAAAUGGUAAACACAUUCUCCUUUUAGUCACACAAAACAUGAUAAGAAAAUAGUUUUUAAUGGUCGUAAAAUUUGAUUCAACAGAUGGUCUGUACGUGAGGUUACAGAGAAGAAGGAGAAGAAGAAUGUGUUGCAGGUGGGGAGAGAGAGAGAAGCGUAGAAGUAGUUUUUGUGUAUUGAUGAUUCUCUACUUGGGAACUCUUUUUAGUUGUAAGCAGUAAUCUCAGAUGCUAUUGCUAUUGUAUUGUUCAUACUUUACAGCCAAAAUAAGUUGCAAAAACUGAAAACACAGAAAUGCUACAAACGCGGUGAAAAUAUUUUUGGUUUUGGGAGGCGAUGCAUCAACGGUGAAAAUUAAAAAACUGGAUAUAUACAAAGACUCAUGUUUCCAUACUUAUAUUAUGUUCUUCAUCAUUUUGUUCUUUGUGGUAGAUCUUGUUUCUUUCUCUCUUCCAUCAUCAGUACUUUUCGUUCUUUCUCUAUGUGCCUUGAUGAGAUUUUAAUCUCUAGUUGUCUCUGUGUUGCAGUUUUAAAACGAGGAACAACAUGUUCAGUGCAGUUUUUCGUGUAAAACUUGAUAAGAAAGGUGUCAACACCUGAAAAUAUUUUGAUGAACAUCGAGUUAACAUAUGAGUGAUUUUAUCACAUUUGGUUGUAUGUGUCUCGAGUUUAAACCCAUCUCUAAGGCGAAAAGUUAUUUUUUAUAUUGAAUUGAUAAUGAUUACCCCUCUCUCUUUUUUGCUCCAGUAUGAGCCACAUGUAUACUGUCCUAUUAAUAACAAGAGAGUCAAAGACACCUUUCCAAACAGCUGAUUAGUUAGAAUUUGAUAUUGUCUUUCGCAGUAACUAUAGUUUACAACAAGAGUUCCGUCACUUUUAAAUGAAGAACUAUCAAUGAUUGAAACCGGUAAAAACCAUCGCCAUCAUUUACUUCUAGAUAUGUCAAUUACCUUUUCAAAACUAUUCAACUGAUAAAAGUUUUGUCUUUUCAAAUCUAUUGAAAAAUACACAAAAAAAAAACAGUUAAAUAGUUUUAUUUAAAAUAAAUUGACAAUCAAACAAAUCAAAUGAUCAGAAGCAAACAAAUUAAAGAAAGAACAGCAAAUGAAUCAAAUAAACAGUUGUCACUGCCGUAGAAGGCUUGAAACUACAAAAAAAUCUCCUUAGACUUAAUAUAUGCUAUUUUUAUAUUGUAUUAGGAUUUAAACAAAGAUAUAUUGUAUUAGGAUUUAUUUCCUUAUUAUCCAUGAUUUAACUUUUUCAAUGAAACUGACUAAGGAUUACUUGUACCAAAAGUAAUCUUAUUAAGUUGAAUUUAACAUAUAAAAAUAAUACCACGAUGGAAUUAAUAUUUGAAAAAGAUAUGAUAUUUAUCACAUGCCAUACGCUUACGCGUUUCGUACUACUUACAACUCAAAAAAGAAAAAUUCCUUUAUUUUUUUUUUGGUUAAUCUUAUAUAUUAAAAGAGAAGUCACAACUUUAACUCAUGUGUGAUUUUUUAAAAAAUGGACCUAAUGGACCUAUUACUAGAAAAUCAUGUUACAUUUAAUUUAUAAUCUUAUCAUUAUUAUAGAUCUAAAUAACUCACUUUCUAGAUUAUAGGAACUAAAUAAUAUGUCUACUUCAUUAUAGGAAUUAAAUAAUUAUCAAUCUUUUCCAAGCCAAAAACAUGAUAUGAAAACAACCAAUUCAAUAAAAAAAAAUAUACAAUAAAAUUAUUAUGUUUUAACAAGUGAUAGACAUACCUCAUAUAUAUUAUACUAAUAUAUACCAAUGUAGAAUUAAAAAUAAACUAUUUCUAUAAAAAUAAAUGAAAAUAAACACCCGCGCGGUUGCGCGGGUCGAGAUCUAGUUGACAUUUAAAAGUUGCAAGAGAAUCUGCCUCUUUUAGUAAUGUUUCUUCUAUAACACUGUCACUCAUAGUCAUAAUAUGGAAAUACUAAAAGAAAUUACCUUUUUACUAUUACUAGAUUGAGUUCAGUAUAGAAUAUUUCGGGAUUUAAAGAAAAUCUAUUUACUUUUUUGACAGCUCACUUUCCAUAUUCCGUUUACUUCUAGUAACGAUAACAAUGGACAAGUUACACCGACUGAAAUUUUCUUCUACUAUAUAUACUUUAGUUAUACACUAAACCGACACUACAAAUCACGCGGAAGAUUUUGUCUUAACGAUAAAUACGGAACUAUGGAUCUACUAUUAUUUGAAGCUCUCAUGCAACUUCCACCAUCAACAAGAGACACCGUUGUAAAAGUGCUGGAUCAUGCAAGCCAAAACCACCCUACUGAUCAUGAUGAAGAUUAUCCAAAAAGAAUAUGCUUACGAGAAGAAGAAGAGUGUGCUACAGGCACAGUUUGUGUUGAGCCAAGAUUACAAAGUAGUGACUCUGAAGAAUAUUCUUCUUCUCGCUCUUCUAAGACGGUGACAGAAGAAGAGUGUGGACAGUGUUCAAUGGACGAUGAUGAUGAUGAUGAGACAACUUCUCCUUCUUCUUCAGAGACGGUGGAACAACGAAUGAUACUGUACAAGCCACAACAAGAAGAGUAUGAAGAAGACGACGUCGUUUCGACCGAGCUUACGUUGGGAAGUAGUAGCGCACAGCCAUCACGGCAACAAGAAGAACCUUCCUCUUCUUCACCGUCUGAAGAUGAUACAACGGCUCUCUUACUCGUCGAGCUAUGCCGCAUUAGGCCUAUGCAACUUCAAACACAAACUCAGACGCCACACAAGUUUGAUUCGUACAAGUGUGAUGUAUGUGGAAAAGAGUUUACUUCGUACCAAGCCUUAGGUGGACACAAGGCUAGCCACCGAGUUAAGCUGCAACAACCACUUGUUGAAAACGCAAACGCAGAAGCUGGAGGAAAAACGCGGCCCAGGAUGGCCCCAUCCGGUAAAAUACACAAGUGUUCUAUAUGUAACGUUGUGUUUCCUACGGGACAAGCUCUCGGUGGGCAUAAACGCCGUCACUACGAAGGUGUUCUAAGCGGUAACAAACGUAGUCACGACGAGGUUAUAGCUGGGGACAGGUCCAGUCCCAAUCAUGAGAGUGUUGAAACAAACAUGUCGGGUCGGAAGCAGAGUUUUGUAGGCGAUCACAAACGUAGUCACGACGAGGUCAUAGCGGGAGACAAGUCGAGUCCCAAACAUGAGAGUGAUGUAACAAAAAAUCCAGGUCGAAGUUUUAUAAGGUUGUUCGAUCUUAAUGAAUUUCCUUUGCAAGAGUUUGAUGAUAACAACAUGCAAGAAGUUGAUGAGUAUGAAAGUGCAAUUGUAGCGAACAAGACGCUACAAUUAAUAGAUCUGAUUUGAAGUGUUGAUUUUUUUUAUGUUCAUUCUUUUCGUUGACCAACCUAACAUAUGAUAUUUGUAGUUUAAGAUUUUUCACAUUUUUUUAAUUGUUUUGUUUAGCAUUAUUUUAACCUUUUUUUGUUACAAAAACAAAAUCACUUUACAAUUUCGAUACAAAUUAUAUUUACUUUCAAAUGAAAAUUAAUUGAAAAUUACAUUGAUUUUAUAAAUAAUUUUAUUUAUCUCAAAUACUAUUGGUCAAAGAGAUAAUUAGUAACAACUUACAUAUAUUAUCACUAUUUUUUUAAUAUGUAUUAAAAAUAUCAAAAUGACACUUAUUUAGAAACAUAAUGAAUACUCUCUCUCCCUCAGUCCCUAAAAGAUUGAUAUUCUAGUUUUUUCAUACAUUUUAAUAAAACACAUUAAAUUUAAAUAAAUUUUUAUGUUUAUCUUCUUUCCAUAAUUUUAAGCCAAUAAAAAAUCAAAUAGUGCAAUUAAAAUUUGAGAAAAAGACUAAAAUAGCACUAAACCAAGUUUAUGUUUCCAAAGUAGCACUCAAAGCUCAAAGUCACAAAAAUAGGUUUCAUUAAAGAGGUAAAUAUACACUUAUACCCCUUGGGUUAAUUAAUCCAAACCUUAGGGUUUAGAGUUAAGGGGUGGGUUUUUGGAAUUAGGGUUUAAAAUUUUAUAAAAAAAAAUACUAAAAUAAAAAAUAAAAAUUUUAAAAACAGUUUCAAAAAGUAUUUUUAAAUAUAAAAAGAAAAUUUGAAAAAAAAAUUUGAAAAAAAAAAUUAUAAAAAUUUCGAAUCUGAAAACAUAUAAUCUGAAACUACAAAAAAAAAUUCUUUUUUUCAUUUUUUUUAUUUUUAUUUUAUUUAUUUUUAUUUAUUUUUGUUUGUUUAUUUAAUUUUAAACCAAGGGUAUUAUGGAUAUUUUACGCUUUAAUGAAUGUCAUUUUUGUGACUUUCUCCUUCUAGUGCUAUUUUUGAGACAUAAACUUCAAAAUGUGCUAUUAUUG
RNAcentral lists this long non-coding RNA (8056 nucleotides) under Brassica rapa (field mustard). RNAcentral's name for it is "long non-coding RNA (BRAP_LNC004010)". Lineage: Eukaryota; Viridiplantae; Streptophyta; Magnoliopsida; Brassicales; Brassicaceae. The record is from RNAcentral.